RNAcentral lists this ribosomal RNA (253 nucleotides) under uncultured bacterium. RNAcentral's name for it is "partial 16S ribosomal RNA". It matches the Rfam family "Bacterial small subunit ribosomal RNA", at positions 524 to 776 of the family's 1533-position model. The record is from RNAcentral.
UACGUAGGGUGCGAGCGUUGCCCGGAUUUAUUGGGCGUAAAGGGCGCGUAGGCGGUGUGGCAAGUCAGGUGUGAAACCUCCAGGCUUAACUUGGAGCUGGCAUCUGAAACUGCCGCGCUAGAGUGCGGGAGAGGAGAGUGGAAUUCCUGGUGUAGCGGUGAAAUGCGUAGAUAUCAGGAGGAACACCGGUGGCGAAGGCGGCUCUCUGGACCGCAACUGACGCUGAGGCGCGAAAGCUAGGGGAGCAAACAGG